Molecule: ribosomal RNA, 484 nt
Filed under: uncultured bacterium
Lineage: Bacteria
Description: partial 16S ribosomal RNA
Rfam family: Bacterial small subunit ribosomal RNA
Source: RNAcentral
AAUGAACGUUGGCGGCGUGGAUUAGGCAUGCAAGUCGAGCGAGAACUAGUAGCAAUACUGGGGAAAGCGGCGAAAGGGAGAGUAAUACGUAGGUACCUACCCUCGGGUCUGGGAUAGCUGCGGGAAACUGCAAUUAAUACCGGAUGACGUCUCUGGACCAAAGGUGUGAUUCCGCCAGGGGAUGGGCCUGGGUCCUAUUAGCUAGUUGGCGGGGUAAUGGCCCACCAAGGCUAAGAUGGGUACGGGGUGUGAGAGCAUGCCCCCGCUCACUGGGACUGAGACACUGCCCAGACACCUACGGGUGGCUGCAGUCGAGGAUCUUCCGCAAUGGGCGCAAGCCUGACGGAGCGACGCCGCGUGCGGGAUGAAGGCCUUCGGGUUGUAAACCGCUGUCAGUGGGGAGCAAAUGCAUCAGGGUUCUCCCUGGUGUUUGAGCGAUCCGCAGAGGAAGCACAGGCUAAUUCCGUGCCAGCAGCCGCCGUAA